RNAcentral lists this ribosomal RNA (496 nucleotides) under uncultured bacterium. Its description in RNAcentral is "partial 16S ribosomal RNA". It matches the Rfam family "Bacterial small subunit ribosomal RNA", at positions 28 to 507 of the family's 1533-position model. The record is from RNAcentral.
GAUGAACGCUGGCGGCGUGCCUAAUACAUGCAAGUCGAGCGAACAGACGAGGAGCUUGCUCCUCUGACGUUAGCGGCGGACGGGUGAGUAACACGUGGAUAACCUACCUAUAGGACUGGGAUAACUUCGGGAAACCGGAGCUAAUACCGGAUAAUAUAUUGAACCGCAUGGUUCAAUAGUGAAAGACGGUUUUGCUGUCACUUAUAGAUGGAUCCGCGCCGCAUUAGCUAGUUGGUAAGGUACGGCUUACCAAGGCGACGAUGCGUAGCCGACCUGAGAGGGUGAUCGGCCACACUGGAACUGAGACACGGUCCAGACUCCUACGGGAGGCAGCAGUAGGGAAUCUUCCGCAAUGGGCGAAAGCCUGACGGAGCAACGCCGCGUGAGUGAUGAAGGUCUUCGGAUCGUAAAACUCUGUUAUUAGGGAAGAACAAAUGUGUAAGUAACUAUGCACGUCUUGACGGUACCUAAUCAGAAAGCCACGGCUAACUACGUG